AUAGAGAAAUAUACAAUGUCAGUAUUCAGGCAUCUUUCCAUUUCUCCCUCCCUUUUUUUUGAGAAAGGUACACCCUUUCUCAGUGUAGAGUUCCAGAGAAAAGCAGGAGAGACAAGAAGACCUUAUUCAGUGAACAGUGCAAAGAAAUAGAGGAAAACAACAGAAAGGAAAAGACUAGAGAUCUCUUCAAGUAAAUUAGAGAUAUCAAAGGGACAUUUCAUCCAAAGAUGGGCACAAUAAAGGACAGAAAUGGUGAAGACCUAGUAGAAGCAGAAGAGAUCAAGAAGAGAUGGAAAAAAUAUACAGAAGAAUUGUGGGGAAAAGAUCUUAAUGACCUGGAUAACCAUGAUGGCAUAGUCUCUCACUCAAAGCCAGACAUUCUGGAGUGUGAAGUCAAGUGAGCCUUAGGAAACAGUGCUGCCAAUAAAGCUAGUGGAGGUGAUGGAACUCCAGCAGAGCUAUUUAAAACCCUCAAAGAUUCAUCUAUUAAAAUGCUGCAAUCAGUAUGUCAGCAAAUUUGGGAAACACAGCAGUGGCCACAGGACUGGAAAAGGUCAAUCCUCACCCCAAUUCCCAAGAAAGGUGGUACUAAAGAAUGUUCAAACCACCAGACAAAUGCACUUGUCUCCCAUGCUAGUAAGGUUAUGUUCAAAAUCCUCCAAGCCAUGCUUCAGCAUUACAUGAACCGAGAACUUCCAGAUGUUCAAGCUGGAUUUAGAAAAGACAGAGGAGACAGAGAUAAAAUCGCCAACAUUCACUGGAUCAUACACAAAGCAAGGGAAUUCCAGAAAAACAUCUACCUCUGUUUCAUUGACUACACUAAAGCCUUUGAGUAUGUGGAUCAAAACAAACCAUGGAAAACUCUUAAAGAGGUGGAAAUACCAGACCAUCUUACCUAUCUCCUGAGAAACCUGUAUGUGGGUCAAGAAAUAACAAUUAGAACUCUAUAUGAAACAACUGACGGGAUCAGGAUUGAGAAAGGAGUUCAACAAGGCUAUUUAUUGUCAUCCUGUUUAUUUAACUUAUAUGAAAAGCACAUUAUAUGAAAUGCCAGGCUGGAUGAGUUACAAGGUGGAAUCAAGUUACAAGCUGUUGACAUGGUAUUAUCCACAUCAACAGAGGAACUAAGGAGCCUCUUGAUGAGAGUGAAGAAGGAGAGUGAAAAAGCCAGCUUAAAACUCAGUAUUAAAAAAUUCUAAGAUCAUGGCAUCCAAUCCCAU
Molecule: long non-coding RNA, 1220 nt
Organism: Bos taurus (domestic cattle)
Lineage: Eukaryota; Metazoa; Chordata; Mammalia; Artiodactyla; Bovidae
Source: Ensembl